Molecule: ribosomal RNA, 519 nt
Filed under: Carpophilus dimidiatus
Lineage: Eukaryota; Metazoa; Arthropoda; Insecta; Coleoptera; Nitidulidae
Description: partial large subunit ribosomal RNA
Rfam family: Bacterial large subunit ribosomal RNA
Source: RNAcentral
AAAAACAUGGCCUUUUGUUAUUAUUUAAGGUCUGACCUGCUCAAUGAAAUUUUAAAUGGCCGCGGUAUUUUGACCGUGCAAAGGUAGCAUAAUCAUUAGUUUUUUAAUUGAAAGCUGGAAUGAAAGGUCGAAUAAGAAAAAAUCUGUCUCUUGGAAAUUUUAUUAGAAUUUUAUUUUUAAGUAAGAAAGCUUAAAUAAUAUUUAAAGACGAGAAGACCCUUUAGAGUUUUAUACAAAUUGGUUAAUUGAGUUUUUAGAAUAAAUUAUUUGAUUAGAAAUUUUGUAUUUGAUUGGGGUGAUUGUAAAAUUUAAUGAACUUUUAUUAUUUGAACCAUUAAUUUAUGUAUAAAUGAUCCAUUGAUAGUGAUUAUAAGAAUAAAUUCCCUAAGGGAUAACAGCGUUAUUUUUUUUGAGAGUUCAAAUCGAAAAAAGAGAUUGCCACCUCGAUGUUGGAUUAAAAUUAAAUUAUGGUGUAGCAGCUAUAACUUUAGGUCUGUUCGACCUUUAAAAUUUUACAUG